RNAcentral lists this long non-coding RNA (869 nucleotides) under Sus scrofa (pig). RNAcentral's name for it is "lncRNA (ENSSSCG00070008558.1)". The record is from RNAcentral. Lineage: Eukaryota; Metazoa; Chordata; Mammalia; Artiodactyla; Suidae.
UACUCAAGCCCCAAGGGCCUCCAUGGAACUCCUUGAAUGUGCGGCCAAGCUGUGCCUCUGAGCCUUUGCACUGGCUGAUCCCUCUAUCUGGAAUGCCUUUCCCUCAGAAAACCUUGCAGCUUGCUCCCUCCUCUCCUUCAAACUCGUGCCCAAAUGCCUCCUUCUCAAAUGAGUCCUACCCUGUCACCCUAUGUAAAAUUACAACCUCCACCCCUCAUCGUCCGUCUUCCUUCUCUCUUUUAUUAUUCUCCUCCCCAGCGCUUAUCAUUUUCUAGAACUUACAUCAUGUGCUUACUUAGCAUGUUUGUUGUUUGUCUCCUCGCCCAGAAGCAAGCUCCCAGAGGGCAAAGCUUUCCUUGGCUUGAUACACGGCUUGCUCCCCAGCAACCUGGAAACACGCCCCAUGCCUCGGAGGAGGUAACAGCAGCAGAGAUUCAGGGCAGACCUUGGGGAGACACCCAUCAAAGCAGGUGAGGAUGGGGAAAAAGGACUGAGGGUGGGCCCAUCGGUCCAUUCCAGAACUCCCACUGGAAUGUCAAACGGGCUUGAGCGGACAGCUGAGCCCUGGAGCCUGGGGACGAGAUGUUCCAUCCUCUGAGCAGACUGAGGCCGGAUGUCGGCUUGGAGCCGACGCCGCACCAGCUCCAGCUCCCUUCCUUGGCUGCAGGGUCUUCUUUGGAGUGAGGGUCGGCCCUCUCGGCGCCUCAGGGAGCGCAGGGCCCUUCGGAGGCAAGUGGUGUGGGGGCCUCUCCCAUGUGGGGGGCUCUGUUAGACCUCCUUCCUUCUUCUUCUCGUUGGCGGCGAGGCUGGAGGGUGUGCUUUUUCCAGACCCUUCUCUCUCACGAGUCUGAACAGUCAGAGGAAGCGGC